AGAGUUUGAUCCUGGCUCAGAUUGAACGCUGGCGGCAUGCUUUACACAUGCAAGUCGAACGGUAACAGGGGAGCUUGCUCCCGCUGACGAGUGGCGAACGGGUGAAUAAUGCAUCGGAACGUGCCGAAUAGUGGGGGAUAACGCACCGAAAGGUGUGCUAAUACCGCAUACGCCCUGAGGGGGAAAGUGGGGGACCGCAAGGCCUCACGCUAAUCGAGCGGCCGAUGUCGGAUUAGCUAGUUGGUGGGGUAAAGGCUCACCAAGGCGACGAUCCGUAGCGGGUCUGAGAGGAUGACCCGCCACACUGGGACUGAGACACGGCCCAGACUCCUACGGGAGGCAGCAGUGGGGAAUUUUGGACAAUGGGGGAAACCCUGAUCCAGCCAUGCCGCGUGUCUGAAGAAGGCCUUCGGGUUGUAAAGGACUUUUGUCCGGGAGGAAACCCUGAUCGUUAAUAGCGGUCGGGACUGACAGUACCGGAAGAAUAAGCACCGGCUAACUACGUGCCAGCAGCCGCGGUAAU
Molecule: ribosomal RNA, 523 nt
Filed under: uncultured bacterium
Lineage: Bacteria
Description: bacterial SSU rRNA
Rfam family: Bacterial small subunit ribosomal RNA
Source: RNAcentral